UAAGGAAUAUUGCUCAAUGGGAGAAAUCCUGAAGCAGCAACGCCGCGUGGAGGAUGAAGGGUCUAUGACUUGUAAACUCCUGUAAAGAAGGAAAAAAUUCCCAUUUGAUGGGAGAUGAUGGUACUUCUGGAGUAAGCCCCGGCUAACUACGUGCCAGCAGCCGCGGUAAUACGUAGGGGGCAAGCGUUGUCCGGAUUUACUGGGUGUAAAGGGUGCUCAGGCGGAUUCGUAAGUCAGAGGUGAAAUCUUACAGCUUAACUGUGAAACUGCCUUUGAUACUGCAAGCCUAGAGUAUGGAAGAGAGUGAUGGAAUAUCUGGUGUAGCAGUGAAAUGCGUAGAUAUCAGAUAGAACACCAAUGGCGAAGGCAGUCACUUGGUCCAUUACUGACGCUAAAGCACGAAAGCGUGGGUAGCAAACA
RNAcentral lists this ribosomal RNA (420 nucleotides) under uncultured bacterium. Its description in RNAcentral is "bacterial SSU rRNA". It matches the Rfam family "Bacterial small subunit ribosomal RNA", at positions 355 to 774 of the family's 1533-position model. The record is from RNAcentral.